ACGAAGAAAAAUUCCAUCUCGUCCGACGAAUUCGUCUCCCUUUUUUUUUUUCGCUUGUUGUCAUUGAUCAUUUUAUCAUGUAUUAUUAUCUUUUUCUUUCUUCAACCGCGUACGUUCUCGAGUGCUAGCGGGUAAACUGGAAUCGCAUUGUAAAAUAAAUCCAAUACGAUCGAUACGCACCGAUUAUACAUAAAUAUAAAUAAUAUUGAUUCUACUCUUAAUUAAUUAAUUAAUUAAUUAAAGGCAGUAAAACCGUAAACGGGAUUUUUAAAGAAGUGAAUCUAGAUGACUAACAUGACUUACGUAAACGACACAUCUUUACGAGCAACAUAUCCUAGCGUAACUAGGCGGCGUAACGUGGGCCCCGUUCCGCUCCUAAUCCUCCGCCAGUCGGAAUCUCAAAAUUCGCGCGCGUGGCGAACGCACAUUUUCCUCCGCUCUCUUUUACUACUGGGAUAAUUCUCUCUCGGAGAGAAUUCGACAUUCUCUCGGUUCGUCUUAAUUAAUUUGAACGAGACAAUUGGGCGCACUAUAUAUACACAUACAAUCCACGCGGCAAUCAACCGAGGAGGAUUUCGAGCGCGACACGCGGCCAUCUUCUUUUUUUCGAAUUAUCGCGAGGCAAAUAGAGAGAGAGAGAGAGAGAGAGAGAGAGAGAGAGAGAGAGAGAGAGAGAGAAGAGAGAGAGAGAUGGACAAACGAGGAAAAGAAGAGAAAAGGGGAGAAAAAUUAACAAAUAAGGGAUGUUCCAUGACAUUAGGGCGUUAUUAACGAUAAUAAGUCUAUAAUUUAGAGAGUGCGUGGGUGAUAUUAUGGAGAGAGUCGUGUAUUGAAUGAGCGUGAUGAUGAUUUUGGCCCUCGUCGAAUCGGCGCGAUUAGAAAUAAGUUCUUGGAUUCAUUCGACAUAAGGGGAAUUAUUAUCAGCGAUUGAUCAGGGGGAAAGAAAAGAGAGAAGUUGGUGGGGGAACGGUGGUGAGAAAUUGGCGCGCGCGAUUCGAUGGUCGAAAUACAAAAAUGGAGGGUGAUUAGUAAUAACGUUUCGAUAAACGAGGAAAAAGAAGAAGCAGAAAAUGUGAAGAAUGAUAUAAAUAUAUAUA
This is a long non-coding RNA of Apis dorsata (giant honeybee), 1097 nucleotides long. RefSeq lists it as uncharacterized. The record is from RefSeq and is a predicted model, not a curated record. Lineage: Eukaryota; Metazoa; Arthropoda; Insecta; Hymenoptera; Apidae. The transcript is spliced from 2 exons.